AGCCGGGGUUUCUUUACCAGGUACUGUCAUUAUCAUCCCUGGCGAAAGAGCUUUACGAUCCUAAGACCUUCAUCACUCACGCGGCAUGGCUAGAUCAGGCUUGCGCCCAUUGUCUAAGAUUCCC
This 124-nucleotide ribosomal RNA is filed under the name uncultured bacterium. RNAcentral's name for it is "partial 16S ribosomal RNA". The record is from RNAcentral.